This is a long non-coding RNA of Myotis brandtii (Brandt's bat), 213 nucleotides long. RefSeq lists it as uncharacterized. The transcript is spliced from 3 exons. NCBI's taxonomy places the organism in Eukaryota, Metazoa, Chordata, Mammalia, Chiroptera, Vespertilionidae. The record is from RefSeq and is a predicted model, not a curated record.
CCCAGAGCUCAGAAUAUGAACUUUGAGGACGUGGCCAUUGUCUUCUCUGAGGAGGAGUGGGGGCUCCUUGAUGAGGCUCAGAAACUUCUGUACUUCAAUGUGAUGCUGGAAGUGUUUGCACUUGUCUCAUCUGCAGGUUGUUGGCAUAACACAGAUGAUGAGGAGACCUGUUCUGAGCAGAGCGUAUCUGUACAAGGAGAGUCACAGGUCAGG